CUGAAAUAAGGAUUGAAUAACUGUUGCACCUGAAGAGAUGUCCCCAGAGACUUGACCAGGUCUCUGAGCUACCUGAUAAUAUCCAAAUAGUCUGACCACCUUUGUAUGUGUGAUACAAGACAGACUCUGCCCUUUGUGAUGUCAUUUUAAAUUAGAUUGGAUUUCCAACAUGAGAAUAUUUUAUCUUGAGUAAAACUCAUCUUGCAUUUAAUAGCACCCAAAAAGAUGUUCUCUUCUUUUACUAAAGGAGACUGAAUCCUAAAGAGAUGAAUGGGCCUUUGUGUACUUCUCUCUGCUUUGAGAACCAUACAAUUGAGAAUUUAGUCCAUAUUUUCAUGCUGCAGAGACCAAGAUGACUACUGAGCCCUGUUCCUCUGGAAGCUGCACCUUCCUGUGGGCUCUGCACCCUUUCUGAACCUGCUGGCGAUGUUAUCUCCUCUGUCACCAGAACUGUUGUCCUUUCAUCAGCUGCACCAGGAUCUGUAACAUCAGGAUCUGCUAUUAUGCAGAAAACCAGCUUGUGGCCUAUAGACAUGAGCAGCUCAGGCCUCCUUUUGGAUACUGAAGGGCUGCUCUAGGUCUCCCUGGAAUCUUCUCAUCUUCAGGCUGAACAGCCCCAGCUUCCUCAGCCUAGUGUUGUAUGGAGGUGUUCCAUCUGUUGGAUAACUUUUGUGGCCCUCCUCUGGAUGCCCUCCAACAGGUCUAUGUCUCUUCUGUACUGAGGACUCCACAUCUGUAUGCAGUACUCCAGGUGAGACAUCACCAGCACAGAGCAGAGGAUCACCUUCCUGACCUGCUGACCAUGAUUUUGAUGCAGCCCAGGUUAUGUAUGGUUUUCUGGGCAGUGAGGGCACAUUGCUGACUCAUGUUCAGUUUGCCAUUCACCAGCACCCACAAGUCCUUUUUGGCAGGGCUGUGCUCCAUCCUUCUGCUCUAUCCCAACUUGUAUUGAUACUGUCCUCGCACUUGACUUUGUUGAUGCUCAUGGGUUUCACCCAUGCCCACUGCUCGAGCCUGUCUAGAUCUCUCUGAAUGGCUUCCUGUCCAUCAGGUAUGUCAGCAGCACUACAAAGCUUGUUGUCAUCCACAAAGUUGCUGAGGGUGCCCUUGAACCCACUGUUAGUGUCAUUGAUGAAGAUAUUAAAGAGUAUUCAUCCCAGUACUGACUACUGAUCCCUCAGGGACACCACUCAUCAUCAAUCUGCAUCUGGACAAUGAGCCACUGAUCACCACUCUCUGGGUAUGGUCUCAUAAACUGAACAGUCC
Gallus gallus (chicken) is the source of this 1266-nucleotide long non-coding RNA. NCBI's taxonomy places the organism in Eukaryota, Metazoa, Chordata, Aves, Galliformes, Phasianidae. The record is from Ensembl.